This is an unclassified non-coding RNA of Piliocolobus tephrosceles (Ugandan red Colobus), 287 nucleotides long. It matches the Rfam family "Metazoan signal recognition particle RNA". Rfam says of the family: The signal recognition particle (SRP) is a universally conserved ribonucleoprotein. It is involved in the co-translational targeting of proteins to membranes. The eukaryotic SRP consists of a 300-nucleotide 7S RNA and six proteins: SRPs 72, 68, 54, 19, 14, and 9. NCBI's taxonomy places the organism in Eukaryota, Metazoa, Chordata, Mammalia, Primates, Cercopithecidae. The record is from Ensembl.
ACUGGCAUGGUGGUGUGUACCUGUACUCCCAGCUACUCAGGAGGCUGAGACAGGAGGAUGAAAAUCUAGGCUGCUCUGCGCUAUACCUAUUGGGUGUCCUCACCCAGUUUGGCAUUAAUAUGGUCACCCCUAGGAGCAAUGGACCGCCAGGUUGCCUAAAGAGGGAUGAGCCAGCCCAGAUCAGAAACAGAGGAGGUCAAAACUCCCGUAUUCAUCAGUAGUGAGAUCAACCAUGUGCCUGGCCAUUGAACUCCAGGCUGGGCAACAUAAUGAGACACCAUUUCUCA